AGGGGUGUAGCUCAGUGGUAGAACACUCACCUAGCAUGUGUAGGACCCUGGGUUCAAUCCCCAGCACUACCA
Non-coding RNA from Ictidomys tridecemlineatus (thirteen-lined ground squirrel), 72 nucleotides. NCBI's taxonomy places the organism in Eukaryota, Metazoa, Chordata, Mammalia, Rodentia, Sciuridae. The record is from Rfam.